GAGGCAGCAGUAGGGAUUUUUUCGGCAAUGGGGCAAAAGGGUUANAUGNAGCCAACUGCGGGNANAGCNGAUUACCGUCCAUCNCAUCGUGAAGCUCUAUUAUUUGGGAAGAACAAAACCCUUUAGUAANGUGGGCGACGUNUUUAANGGGUACCGUAAUCAGAAAAGCCANGGGUUAAUUUACGUNCCCAACAGCCCGCGGUAAAUACAUAGGGGGCAAAGCUUUAUCCGGAAAUUAUGGGGUGUAAAGCGCGUAUAGGCGGUUUCUUAAGUNUGAUGUGAAAGCCCGCGUCUCAACCGUGGAGGGUCAUUGGAAACUGGAGAUCUUGAGUGCAGAAGAGGAAAGUGGAAUUUCCAUGUGUAGCGGUGAAAUGCGCAGAGAUAUGGAGGAACACCAGUGGAGAAGGCGAAUUUGUUGUCUGUAACUGACGGUGAUGUGCGAAAGCGUGGGGAUCAAACAGGAUUAGAUACCCUGGUAGUCCACGCCGUAAACGAUGAGUGCUAAGUGUUAGGGGGUUUGGGUCUCCUUAGUGCUGCAGCUAACGCAUUAAGCACUCCGCGUGGGGAGUACGACCGCAAGGUUGAUACUCAGAGGAAUUGACGGGGACCCGCACAAGCGGUGGAGCAUGUGGUUUAAUUAGAAGCAACGCGAAGAACCUUACCCAAUCUCGACAUCCUGUGACCCCUAUAGAGAUAGAUUUUUCCCCUUCGGGGGACAGAGUGACAGGUGGUGCAUGGUUGUCGUCAGCUCGUGUCGUGAGAUGUUGGGUUUAGUCCCGCAACGAGCGCAACCGCUUAGCUUAGUCACCAUCAUUAAGUUGGGCAUUUUAAGUUGACUGCCGGUGCCAAACCGGAGGAAGGUGGGGAUGACGUCAAAUCAUCAUGCCCCUUAUGAUUUGGGCUCCACACGUGCUCCAAUGCACAAUCCAAAGGGCAGCGAAUCCGCGAGGUCAAGCGAAUCCCAUAAAGUGGUUCUCAGUUCGGAUCGUAGUGCGCAUCUCGAGUACAUGAAGCUGGAAUCGAUAGUAAUCGUAGAUCAGCAUGGUACGGUGAAUACGUUCCCGCGUCGUGCACACACCGCCUGUCACACCACGAGAGUUUGUAACACCCGAAGCCGGUGGAGUCACCAUUGGAGCUAG
Molecule: ribosomal RNA, 1139 nt
Filed under: Staphylococcus epidermidis
Lineage: Bacteria; Bacillati; Bacillota; Bacilli; Caryophanales; Staphylococcaceae
Description: bacterial SSU rRNA
Rfam family: Bacterial small subunit ribosomal RNA
Source: RNAcentral